This is a non-coding RNA of Myotis brandtii (Brandt's bat), 87 nucleotides long. NCBI's taxonomy places the organism in Eukaryota, Metazoa, Chordata, Mammalia, Chiroptera, Vespertilionidae. The record is from Rfam.
AGAGGCCCUCUGUGGCCAGGGUGGAAUGCUUGCCUCGUAGCCGGAGCAAUAAAGCAAGCAUUCUGCCAGGCUGCUCACAUUGCCCGC